UAAGAAAUUUCAGAAAUAACAUUUUAUUGAAAUUCAUCAUCAAUAUGAUUAAAGAUAAUUGUUUAUAAGAAUCAUAAUUAUACCAGACUCUAUUUUCAGUGUGAUAAAGGAACUACUUAUGGAAAUAAAAUACCAAAUAGAUAUUCAAUAGGAUUAAGGAGAGUUGGAAUAAAAUAUGACAGUUUAACAAAGUCCAAGAAAGUGAUCUCAGAUUUUCCAGGGAAAACUGAAGUUAGGACUGCUAAAAAAUUUUGAGAACUCUUCUCCAGUCGUUACUUGGAAAUUGUCUACAGGAUGGCUGGCUGCUGCUGAUACCGUCGAUUUGUUCAUGGCAUGGCUUCCAAGUGCUGAGCACCUGCAUCUUACACUCAGCUGACAGAGAGGCAUGCUUCACUGGAGUGGCACCGGAAUACAAAUAAAUUGGAUAGCACUUAGUGACCUGAAAUGCCACUGAGAGAUGAAAGACAAACUCCACUGAAAGUGACAUAAAUAUUUUCGUUUCUGGAUAGGGGAACUGAUACCAAUGGAAUCAGAAUGUCCAAGUGGUGUAGCAAAUUACAUUUCAGAUGGCUUCCAGAGCUAUUGAUGUGUAAGAGUCAGAAUAAGGGGUUAUAAGCAGAUGCUUGCUGUCAAACCUGAUGAUCUGGGUUCUAUCCCCAGAACUCAGGAGAUGAAAGGGAGCAACUCCUGCACAGUGUCCUCUGAGCCUCACAUUCACAUUUUGGCAUCUGCACAUGCAGUGGUACAAGUGCCACAUGCCACACACACACAGGUAUACACACAUACACAAACACAUGCACACACACACACACACACACACACACACACACACACACACACACACCAAACAUCAAACCAAUAAAUACUUUUUAGUAAAAAUUCUUUUUACUAAAACUCCACAAAUGUUUGAAUGUCUAAUAAAACUUAGAAUUCCACAGGAUAUUCUUUACAAAAUGAAAAGGUGGUUGUUACGACAAAUCUUUUCACCGAAAGUGGCCUGAGCCCUACCACCACAUGGGUGCUUUCUGCCGGCUGCCUGAGUUCGGCCCGCUGUGUUAGGGCCCUAAAUGAUACACAGAGGAUUCUAUUAGGUACAAAUGCUGCUUGGCGAAUGACUAGGAUUCUUAUCUGUUAGCUCAGUCUUAAUUAUCAUAAAUCUAUAUAUUUUAUAAGACUUAUCUUAUUGGACGCCUUCCAUUGGCAUCCUGGGAUCACAUGGUGACUCUGGAGGAAGAGAGAAGGGGUCCACUUCCUUCUUCCCUUCUUUAUG
Molecule: long non-coding RNA, 1270 nt
Filed under: Cricetulus griseus (Chinese hamster)
Lineage: Eukaryota; Metazoa; Chordata; Mammalia; Rodentia; Cricetidae
Description: lncRNA (ENSCGRG00015035892.1)
Source: RNAcentral